Molecule: small RNA, 134 nt
Filed under: Salmonella enterica subsp. enterica serovar Infantis
Lineage: Bacteria; Pseudomonadati; Pseudomonadota; Gammaproteobacteria; Enterobacterales; Enterobacteriaceae
Also listed under: 3 other names
Description: RtT sRNA
Rfam family: RtT RNA
About the family: This family represents a bacterial cis-regulatory element known as RtT RNA. The exact function of RtT is unknown although it is thought that it may be involved in changing the cellular response in relation to amino acid starvation.
Source: RNAcentral
UGUAUCUGAAGUCUGACGAGGAUGAGAACCUCCGGGGGCAAGAGGUUCGACUCGAGCGAAGCGAGAGAACGUUGCGUCAGCAACGGCCCGCAGGGCGAGCCACGCAGUGGCGAGUCAUCCUCUAUCACCGAACU